CCCUUAGAUGUCCUGGGCCGCACGCGCGCUACACUGAGUGUCUGAGAUACGAGUCUGCCUAGCCGGCGAGGUCUAGGUAAUCGCUGAAAGACACAUCAUGCUUGGGAUAGAUUAUUGCAGAUAUUAAUCUUGAACGAGGAAUUCCUAGUAAGCACAAGUCAUCAGCUUGUGUUGAUUACGUCCCUGCCCUUUGUACACACCGCCCGUCGCUCCUACCGAUUGAAUGUUCCGGUGAGCUCUUCGGACUGCGCAGUCUGCAGUUUCUGCGUUCCGUGCGGAAAGUUGCGCAAACCUUAACAUUUAGAGGAAGGAGAAGUCGUAACA
RNAcentral lists this ribosomal RNA (324 nucleotides) under uncultured eukaryote. RNAcentral's name for it is "partial 18S ribosomal RNA". It matches the Rfam family "Eukaryotic small subunit ribosomal RNA", at positions 1470 to 1796 of the family's 1831-position model. The record is from RNAcentral.